Molecule: long non-coding RNA, 516 nt
Organism: Thunnus maccoyii (southern bluefin tuna)
Lineage: Eukaryota; Metazoa; Chordata; Actinopteri; Scombriformes; Scombridae
Exons: 3
Source: RefSeq, a predicted model, not a curated record
ACCAAUUGUAAUGCACAACCUUUGCACCUUUAGGUAUCUUAUCUGGUUAUCUGGUGAUGACUGAAAUAAUGACUGGACAAGACAAUUAUGACAUAAUCUUUCACCUGUGAGCUGGAAUCAGCUGAUGAUAGCAGACAAGAACUAUACAGGAAUGCUCAGAGUUCAUUCAGAUGGUUUUCCUCCUGCAUUCCUCAGUGGAAGACAACACACCUGUGGGGCUGCUGCGGUGUACCACAGACACGACCUGCCAACCUGCAUACACUGAUAAAGUUACAGUACUGAGGUGAUGUGGCCCCCCUGUAAUAUGAGCCACAGAUCUUUGAAGAGGAAAGGAGAGAGAUUGUCCCGACAGACAGCCUGUCAUCUGUUGCGGGACGGUUCGGAUCGCAGUCCCAGGUUUGACCCAGAAUGGCUUGAGCGAUGUUAGACAAACGAGGGCAGGAGGACUGUCAGGGCAGCUUCAUGUCAAGCCUGUGAAAACUCCAGGCUGCUUGUGGAGAGAAGAUGAGCAGCAGC